Molecule: ribosomal RNA, 399 nt
Filed under: Triticum aestivum (bread wheat)
Lineage: Eukaryota; Viridiplantae; Streptophyta; Magnoliopsida; Poales; Poaceae
Description: partial small subunit ribosomal RNA
Source: RNAcentral
AUGGUUAUGUUGCUAUCUAACAUUUCACUUUUGUUUCUUGAUUUCUUGGAUAAUGUUUUUCUCUUUCUUGAGAAUCAUCAUAUUGGAAAGGCUGCUUGUGUUGUCAAAUAUGAACUAUUUAUUACGGUUGAUUUCUGUGCUAGUAAUGCCUAUUGCCUUCUCCACCCAUACAGGACGCCCUCCUCGAAGCAGCCAUCCCCGACGAGCUCUCUUCGCCGGAGGAGAUGGAGCAGCAAGUCCAGCACCCGCUUGGCCCCUGUGUCCUAUCUUGCGUGGACAAGCUCACCAAUGGCUGCGUCUUCCUUCCCUCCUAGCGUGAUAUUGGUUUAUGGAGUAUUUUCAGCAACGAAGACAUUUGUUCUCACGACUUUGGUGUGGAGGGGUGGAUAUAAUGUCUAG